This 200-nucleotide ribosomal RNA is filed under the name uncultured Glomus. Its description in RNAcentral is "partial small subunit ribosomal RNA". It matches the Rfam family "Eukaryotic small subunit ribosomal RNA", at positions 591 to 792 of the family's 1831-position model. Lineage: Eukaryota; Fungi; Glomeromycota; Glomeromycetes; Glomerales; Glomeraceae. The record is from RNAcentral.
CCAAUAGCGUAUAUUAAAGUUGUUGCAGUUAAAAAGCUUGUAGUUGAAUUUCGGGAUCAAUAUUUCGGUCAUGCCGUUGGUAUGCACUGUUAUCAUUGAUUUCUCACCUUCUAAAGAACCGUAAUGCCAUUAAUUUAGUGUUACGGAGAAUUAGGACUGUUACCUUAAAAAAAUUAGAGUGUUUAAAGCAGGCUCACACU